GAUUAUUGAAAGCAAAUCAGAGGAGAACCCUGCUCUGAUAAAUGUUAAGACUGCCUCAACUAAAGAAUACCUGAUUGUGUAUCAGAUUCAAGACCUGUCUGCCAGUAGAACUUGCUGGGAUUGUCAGCCAAGCAAUGAACAAAUAAAGAUGCUUGAUUGGAUUUUGGGCAAGAAUGACCCAGAAGAGAAAGUGGCUGAAGUUGGGAACAUUACUCUCCAGCGAAAGGACUUCUGGACUUUGGGUCACAAUGAAGAGCUAGAGGCAACAGUAAGUCUACACUAUAAACAAAGGUUAUGGAAAUGUUUUUGUAUGUAUGUGUAACACCAGUAUGUUACUUUUACAACUAUUCUAGAUUGCAAAUAGCUGCCUGCAAGCA
Molecule: long non-coding RNA, 377 nt
Organism: Erpetoichthys calabaricus (reedfish)
Lineage: Eukaryota; Metazoa; Chordata; Cladistia; Polypteriformes; Polypteridae
Exons: 3
Source: RefSeq, a predicted model, not a curated record